RNAcentral lists this small nucleolar RNA (100 nucleotides) under Triticum aestivum (bread wheat). RNAcentral's name for it is "snoRNA snoR44_J54". It matches the Rfam family "Small nucleolar RNA R44/J54/Z268 family". From Rfam's summary of the family: R44, J54 and Z268 are members of the C/D class of snoRNA which contain the C (UGAUGA) and D (CUGA) box motifs. Most of the members of the box C/D family function in directing site-specific 2'-O-methylation of substrate RNAs. Lineage: Eukaryota; Viridiplantae; Streptophyta; Magnoliopsida; Poales; Poaceae. RNAcentral also lists the same sequence under 2 other names. The record is from Rfam by way of RNAcentral.
UUAGCAAAUGACGGUAAGCAAGACAGGGACUCUGCAGUGCUCCCGAUUUCAGAUUGGGGCCGCGAAUGAUGCAUCCGUCUAGGGGAAUCUCUGAUGCUAA